UACCAACGCCGCCCCGGAGCCAACGGGACGAGUACACACCCCUUGGGUCCUAGACCUCGCCGCCGAGGUAACUGUUCCGUACCGGCCGAUUAUCGGUACGCCCACCACCUAGGCCACAGGGCCGGCGCGCCCGCCGGCCUAGGCCACCAGCAACCGCAGGCUGCCGCCGAAGACGCCGCCAGCCACCUCCAGCAGCCGACCGCAGCACCACCACAGUUACCGCCUCCUGGACGGUUCCGAGCGCUCUCCAAGGUGGCAUAGUUAGGUCUCUAUUCUCUCCUCACCUACGUCCUCCGAGGAGUCGCUAAUCUCGAAGAGCCGGCAGGCUAGCAAAAGAACUAACGCGAGACCGGCAACCUAGAGCCCGAGCCAGCAGCACCCGGCAGCCUAUAAAUGGGCCAGCAGAGGUUGGUAGACGAGGAGUGCCGGCGUUCGCGAGCGCGCGCUGGGUAGGGGCGACGAUCCCGAAGCCGACGGGGGUUGAGACCACUCCACUCGAGAGGAGAAGGGAGAGGAGAGGGGAAGAAAGAAUAGAAGGGCGGGGUGAGUUAAAGAAGCUAAGCCACGUCGUCGGUGGGAGGAGGUACCUGCUCCUACUGGUGGUGCCGGCGUGUACCAGCUCGAGUGGCAGCAAAGGAGGCCACACCACUACCCGGUUGCUCGAGGCGGAGGUGCCGAGGAUCGAGCCGAAGACAAGAGGUACCUGCUUAGAGUUGACCUUUGUUGUUCGGUAGAGUUCCCUCCCCUAACAGUUCAGUGGGGUGAAGGUUAGGUACCUACGAUAGGUGUUCCUGGUUCUACUACUACUGGUCCUACCUUCCUCGGGUGCGGGCUGGGGCUGCUGCCGCCAAAGUAAACACACGGCCGCAGCUGGUGUUGGAGGGAGAGACAUUAUACAUGUAGUGAUUGGGUCAGUCACCAAUACUUAAAGCGAGAGACUUCCUGCACGUUGCAAUAUAACUUAGUCCCCUGUGUUGAACGUACAAACACACCCGACCUUUACAUUUUCUGUCAUUUCAACAGGUGCGCAACCUGGACUACCCUCGGGGCCGGUUUGGUGAGGUGGUAGACGAGGAGUGCCGGCGUUCGCGAGCGCGCGCUGGGUAGGGGCGACGAUCCCGAAGCCGACGGGGGUUGAGACCACUCCACUCGAGAGGAGAAGGGAGAGGAGAGGGGAAGAAAGAAUAGAAGGGCGGGGUGAGUUAAAGAAGCUAAGCCACGUCGUCGGUGGGAGGAGGUACCUGCUCCUGCUGGUGGUGCCGGCGUGUACCAGCUCGAGUGGCAGCAAAGGAGGCCACGCCACUACCCGGUUGCUCGAGGCGGAGGUGCCGAGGAUCGAGCCGAAGACAAGAGGUACCUGCUUAGAGUUGACCUUUGUCGUUCGGUAGAGUUCCCUCCCCUAACAGUUCAGUGGGGUGAAGGUUAGGUACCUACGAUAGGUGUUCCUGGUUCUACUACUGCUGGUCCUACCUUCCUCGGGUGCGGGCUGGGGCUGCUGCCGCCAAAGUAAACACACGGCCGCAGCUGGUGUUGGAGGGAGAGACAUUAUACAUGUAGUGAUUGGGUCAGUCACCAAUACUUAAAACGAGAGACUUCCUGCACGUUACAAUAUAACUUAGUCCCCUGUGUUCAUUUACGUUACAAUCCGGUUUCUUCUCUUGACGGGUCCUAUGAACAUAAUGUGUCUUAGUUCUAAUAUCGAAGACGGGCACACAAAUAAAGUAUGGUGUAAGUUUCAAUUUACAUGGACGCUGCGGAGAAAACCCUGACGAGCACUGCUGGUAAGACACAAUAGGACUGUACCGAACGAUACGACAACGCAGGCACGUUGAGAGACAUCUUUUCUGUCAUUUCAACAGGUGCGCAACCUGGGCUACCCUCGGGGCCGGUUUGGUGAGGUGGCGUCAAGUUAUGGACAGCGUCUACUAGGUCUGUGACAGCAAAGGUUUCUCUUGAGGGUUACGCCAGCACUUCUUCGACAGUACGGGACGUGGCGACGGCCUAGUCCCUACCUCGCUUGAUUUUAGGUCUUUAUUCUCUCCUCACCUACGUCCUCCGAGGAGUCGCUAAUCUCGAAGAGCCGGCAGGCUAGUAAAAGAACUAACGCAAGACCGGCAACCUAGAGCCCGAGCCAGCAGCACCCGGCAGCCUAUAAAUGGGCCAGCAGAGGUUGGCAGGCUAUAAAAGGGAUACUCGGCACAGGGCGGGCCGGCACGGUGGCGCGUAGACGAGGAGUGCCGGCGUUCGCGAGCGCGCGCUGGGUAGGGGCGACGAUCCCGAAGCCGACGGGGGUUGAGACCACUCCACUCGAGAGGAGAAGGGAGAGGAGAGGGGAAGAAAGAAUAGAAGGGCGGGGUGAGUUAAAGAAGCUAAGCCACGUCGUCGGUGGGAGGAGGUACCUGCUCCUGCUGGUGGUGCCGGCGUGUACCAGCUCGAGUGGCAGCAAAGGAGGCCACGCCACUACCCGGUUGCUCGAGGCGGAGGUGCCGAGGAUCGAGCCGAAGACAAGAGGUACCUGCUUAGAGUUGACCUUUGUCGUUCGGUAGAGUUCCCUCCCCUAACAGUUCAGUGGGGUGAAGGUUAGGUACCUACGAUAGGUGUUCCUGGUUCUACUACUGCUGGUCCUACCUUCCUCGGGUGCGGGCUGGGGCUGCUGCCGCCAAAGUAAACACACGGCCGCAGCUGGUGUUGGAGGGAGAGACAUUAUACAUGUAGUGAUUGGGUCAGUCACCAAUACUUAAAGCGAGAGACUUCCUGCACGUUGCAAUAUAACUUAGUCCCCUGUGUUCAUUUACGUUACAAUCCGGUUUCUUCUCUUGACGGGUCCUACGAACAUAAUGUGUCUUAGUUCUAAUAUCGAAGACGGGCACACAAAUAAAGUGUGGUGUAAGUUUCAAUUUACAUGGACGCUGCGGAGAAAACCCUGACGAGCACUGCUGGUAAGACACAAUAGGACUGUACCGAACGAUACGACAACGCAGGCACGUUGAGAGACAUCUUUUCUGUCAUUUCAACAGGUGCGCAACCUGGGCUACCCUCGGGGCUGGUUUGGUGAGGUGGCGUCAAGUUAUGGAUAGCGUCUACUAGGUCUGCGACAACAAAGGUUUCUCUUGAGGGUUACGCCAGCACUUCUUCGACAGUACGGGACGUGGCGACGGCCUAGUCCCUACCUCGCUUGAUUUUAGGUCUUUAUUCUCUCCUCACCUACGUCCUCCGAGGAGUCGCUAAUCUCGAAGAGCCGGCAGGCUAGCAAAAGAACUAACGCAAGACCGGCAACCUAGAGCCCGAGCCAGCAGCACCCGGCAGCCUAUAAAUGGGCCAGUAGAGGUUGGCAGGCUGUAAAAGGGAUACUCGGCACAGGGCGGUCCGGCACGGUGGCGCGUAGACGAGGAGUGCCGGCGUUCGCGAGCGCGCGCUGGGUAGGGGCGACGAUCCCGAAGCCGACGGGGGUUGAGACCACUCCACUCGAGAGGAGAAGGGAGAGGAGAGGGGAAGAAAGAAUAGAAGGGCGGGGUGAGUUAAAGAAGCUAAGCCACGUCGUCGGUGGGAGGAGGUACCUGCUCCUGCUGGUGGUGCCGGCGUGUACCAGCUCGAGUGGCAGCAAAGGAGGCCACGCCACUACCCGGUUGCUCGAGGCGGAGGUGCCGAGGAUCGAGCCGAAGACAAGAGGUACCUGCUUAGAGUUGACCUUUGUCGUUCGGUAGAGUUCCCUCCCCUAACAGUUCAGUGGGGUGAAGGUUAGGUACCUACGAUAGGUGUUCCUGGUUCUACUACUGCUGGUCCUACCUUCCUCGGGUGCGGGCUGGGGCUGCUGCCGCCAAAGUAAACACACGGCCGCAGCUGGUGUUGGAGGGAGAGACAUUAUACAUGUAGUGAUUGGGUCAGUCACCAAUACUUAAAACGAGAGACUUCCUGCACGUUACAAUAUAACUUAGUCCCCUGUGUUCAUUUACGUUACAAUCCGGUUUCUUCUCUUGACGGGUCCUACGAACAUAAUGUGUCUUAGUUCUAAUAUCGAAGACGGGCACACAAAUAAAGUAUGGUGUAAGUUUCAAUUUACAUGGACGCUGCGGAGAAAACCCUGACGAGCACUGCUGGUAAGACACAAUAGGACUGUACCGAACGAUACGACAACGCAGGCACGUUGAGAGACAUCUUUUCUGUCAUUUCAACAGGUGCGCAACCUGGGCUACCCUCGGGGCCGGUUUGGUGAGGUGGCGUCAAGUUAUGGACAGCGUCUACUAGGUCUGCGACAGCAAAGGUUUCUCUUGAGGGUUACGCCAGCACUUCUUCGACAGUACGGGACGUGGCGACGGCCUAGUCCCUACCUCGCUUGAUUUUAGGUCUUUAUUCUCUCCUCACCUACGUCCUCCGAGGAGUCGCUAAUCUCGAAGAGCCGGCAGGCUAGCAAAAGAACUAACGCAAGACCGGCAACCUAGAGCCCGAGCCAGCAGCACCCGGCAGCCUAUAAAUGGGCCAGCAGAGGUUGGAAGGCUAUAAAAGGGAUACUCGGCACAGGGCGGGCCGGCACGGUGGCGCGUAGACGAGGAGUGCCGGCGUUCGCGAGCGCGCGCUGGGUAGGGGCGACGAUCCCGAAGCCGACGGGGGUUGAGACCACUCCACUCGAGAGGAGAAGGGAGAGGAGAGGGGAAGAAAGAAUAGAAGGGCGGGGUGAGUUAAAGAAGCUAAGCCACGUCGUCGGUGGGAGGAGGUACCUGCUCCUGCUGGUGGUGCCGGCGUGUACCAGCUCGAGUGGCAGCAAAGGAGGCCACGCCACUACCCGGUUGCUCGAGGCGGAGGUGCCGAGGAUCGAGCCGAAGACAAGAGGUACCUGCUUAGAGUUGACCUUUGUCGUUCGGUAGAGUUCCCUCCCCUAACAGUUCAGUGGGGUGAAGGUUAGGUACCUACGAUAGGUGUUCCUGGUUCUACUACUGCUGGUCCUACCUUCCUCGGGUGCGGGCUGGGGCUGCUGCCGCCAAAGUAAACACACGGCCGCAGCUGGUGUUGGAGGGAGAGACAUUAUACAUGUAGUGAUUGGGUCAGUCACCAAUACUUAAAACGAGAGACUUCCUGCACGUUACAAUAUAACUUAGUCCCCUGUGUUCAUUUACGUUACAAUCCGGUUUCUUCUCUUGACGGGUCCUACGAACAUAAUGUGUCUUAGUUCUAAUAUCGAAGACGGGCACACAAAUAAAGUGUGGUGUAAGUUUCAAUUUACAUGGACGCUGCGGAGAAAACCCUGACGAGCACUGCUGGUAAGACACAAUAGGACUGUACCGAACGAUACGACAACGCAGGCACGUUGAGAGACAUCUUUUCUGUCAUUUCAACAGGUGCGCAACCUGGGCUACCCUCGGGGCUGGUUUGGUGAGGUGGCGUCAAGUUAUGGACAGCGUCUACUAGGUCUGCGACAACAAAGGUUUCUCUUGAGGGUUACGCCAGCACUUCUUCGACAGUACGGGACGUGGCGACGGCCUAGUUCCUACCUCGCUUGAUUUUGUGAAGCGACAAUGUUGAUCGAGAGGGACAAGGUACUUAGCUGUCUCUCCUCACACAUCACAACAACCAGUUCGAUACAUAUAGACGAGGAGGAAACCUAACCAACCCAGACGUGGACAACGACAAAACCUAACCGACCCAGACGUCGACGACGAGGAAACCUAACUGGAGAUAAACCAAAUACGUAAGGUAAAAAGAUCUAUAGUCCCGAGUCCGUUGUGAAAUCGGAUACUUGGCUCUACACGGCGGCGGGUCAGCAGCACAUGUGUGACGCGUCGGAGGCGGUGGGCUAGCUAGCCGGAUGUAGAUCGUUUCCACUCCGGAGAGGAGGAAAAGCACGUAAAAGUACCCGAUGCACCACGAUUAACACCACACGACGUCGUCAACUCUGGCCCAUCCUGCUCCUCCUUCGUAUCUCCCUCUGACGCCCUGCUUCUCCUCUAGAGCCAGUCGUACGUUGGAUGUGUGGUUGUGGUAGGGUCGAGCACACGGCUGAGCUCCAACCUCUAGAAGAGGAGAGGGGAGGAGGACGUGCAUGGAAAAGAACCCCGACGGUAGCACAGACAAGACCAGACACGUUGUUCGACCCAGACACGACCCACACGGGUCAAAAGUUACGUAACGCUACGGACAAGUCGGUCAAAACAUCGGCGGUUCCCUUCAUGUUUCUACCGCAGCUCCGAACCCGCACACCGGCAGCUGCACCUCGUCCGUCUCCUCCUCGCUGAUGAUGGGGUUGCCGUCGGAGAGGAGGGAACAGGUGCCAUGAAAAUGGACAGUACCUUAAACUUAUAUUAAAACAAACAACCACGAGGACCCAUAUAAAUGUACUUAGACUUCCACCACUACUAAGUCGACUGGUCAUCCAAAAAGAAGACACAAGUCUCUUCUUUCUUCGACCAACGACGAUUAUAAUGAUAGGAGAAUCCUGUACGUUUCGUGUUGUUGGUUGUCGUCUGCUGUGGAGGUUUCGAUCUGUACCGUUCCAAAGCACUCCGCGCACAGUCUCCCAACCUUCUCCUUCGCCGCGUCCGUGGCACCUACUGCAACGUCAACCACCUACCACCGUAGUAUGACCGCACGCCGUGCCCGCACCUACUCGAGACGGCGGCAGGACAUUACACCCACAACCGGGUCAAGUACUCUUCUACGGGUCUAACAAGACGUCUCGUCGUCGGGUUAGUACACCCGGACGAUCGACCGUACUUCAAUCCGUCGGCCUUCGGCUCGACACCACGCCUUCCUCGACCCUCUAGAUCAGGCGGGUAAUCACUUUGCUUGCCGAAUUCUGUAGAUUAGUGACACGUGGUCAUGUCCUACAACGACACCCUCUUUGUGAACCCGCCCGACCGACUCCACGACUUCCGCGGUCUCAGUAACUUCACGUACUCCGACCACUUGGUCCACCGCGCCCUCUUGACCCUCUCCAUGUGGCUGCUCCCCUUCCACCAUCUCCUCUACGUCCCCGGUGGACUACUCCAUAGGCCACCUGCACCUGCUGCUGCCGUUGCACACCAGCGACUGCUCCGAGCUCAAGUAGGGGCUGCAGCCGCCGUCCCAGGAUCUGAGGUGGUUGUUCAAAGGGCUAGUAGAGUGGUACAUCGGAAGGAUGACUGGGAAACU
RNAcentral lists this ribosomal RNA (7122 nucleotides) under Triticum aestivum (bread wheat). RNAcentral describes it as "partial small subunit ribosomal RNA". The record is from RNAcentral. Lineage: Eukaryota; Viridiplantae; Streptophyta; Magnoliopsida; Poales; Poaceae.